This 299-nucleotide unclassified non-coding RNA is filed under the name Hevea brasiliensis (rubber tree). The record is from RNAcentral. Lineage: Eukaryota; Viridiplantae; Streptophyta; Magnoliopsida; Malpighiales; Euphorbiaceae.
GGGUGGAACCGAUUCAACCUUAGACUUCUUGGAGUGAUGACGGUGAAUUGAGAACACCCAUUUAAGAUGGAAAAACCAAUGAACUUGAUAAGAGAAAUGGACACUACCUGGAACAGAAAUUGGAGGAUGGGUAUGAUUCUUGCCUUUGAAUUGAAUCUAUCGAAGUUUCAGAAAGAGUAUUUGAGGUGUCAUUAAAAAGUUAUGGGCAUGCACAACUCAUUCCCAAAACUGAAUUUUUUGCUGUCAAAAUUCUUGGAGAAGAGAAAUGUAGAAAGAGAUAACUCAACUCAACUCAACUA